Molecule: ribosomal RNA, 262 nt
Filed under: uncultured archaeon
Lineage: Archaea
Description: partial 16S ribosomal RNA
Rfam family: Archaeal small subunit ribosomal RNA
Source: RNAcentral
AGGGUGUAAACGCUGCAGACUUGGUGUUGGGGGCCCUUUGGGGGCAUUCAGUGCCGGAGAGAAGUUGUUAAGUCUGCUACUUGGGGAGUACGUCCGCAAGGAUGAAACUUAAAGAAUUGGCGGGGGGAGGCACCGCAACGGGAGGAGCGUGCGGUUUAAUUGGAUUCAACACCGUAAAACUCACCAGGGAAGACUGUUACAUGAAGGCCGAGAUGAAGACUCUGCUAGAUUUUCAGAGAGGUGGUGCAUGGCGUCAGUGACU